Molecule: ribosomal RNA, 554 nt
Filed under: Colletotrichum karsti
Lineage: Eukaryota; Fungi; Ascomycota; Sordariomycetes; Glomerellales; Glomerellaceae
Description: eukaryotic LSU rRNA
Rfam family: 5.8S ribosomal RNA (bases 202-355)
Source: RNAcentral
AGGGACAUUACUGAGUUACCGCUCUAUAACCCUUUGUGAACAUACCUACAACUGUUGCUUCGGCGGGUAGGCCGUCCCCUGAAAAGGACGCCUCCCGGCCCGGACCGGACCCCCCGCGGGACCGGACCCGGCGCCCGCCGGAGGAUAACCAAACUCUAUUGUAACGACGUUUCUUCUGAGUGGCAUAAGCAAAAUAAUCAAAACUUUUAACAACGGAUCUCUUGGUUCUGGCAUCGAUGAAGAACGCAGCGAAAUGCGAUAAGUAAUGUGAAUUGCAGAAUUCAGUGAAUCAUCGAAUCUUUGAACGCACAUUGCGCCCGCCAGCAUUCUGGCGGGCAUGCCUGUUCGAGCGUCAUUUCAACCCUCAAGCUCUGCUUGGUGUUGGGGCUCUACGGUCGACGUAGGCCCUCAAAGGUAGUGGCGGACCCUCCCGGAGCCUCCUUUGCGUAGUAACAUUUCGUCUCGCACUGGGAUCCGGAGGGACUCUUGCCGUAAAACCCCCCAAUUUUCCAAAGGUUGACCUCGGAUCAGGUAGGAAUACCCGCUGAACUUAA